Molecule: unclassified non-coding RNA, 354 nt
Filed under: soil metagenome
Description: partial contains 5.8S ribosomal RNA, internal transcribed spacer 2, and large subunit ribosomal RNA
Rfam family: 5.8S ribosomal RNA (bases 1-120)
Source: RNAcentral
GAUGAAGAACGCAGCGAAACGCGAUAUGUAAUGUGAAUUGCAGAAUUCAUUGAAUCAUCGAAUCUUUGAACGCACAUGGCGCCUUCCAGUAUCCUGGGAGGCAUGCCUGUCCGAGCGUCGUUUCAACCCUCGAGCCCUCGUGGCCCGGCGUUGGGGAUCUGCCACGGCAGGCCCCGAAAUACAGUGGCGGACCCGUUAGGCCCUUCCUUUGCGUAGUAGCAUCAGCCUCGCAUCGGGAGCCGGCGGGCUCUCCUGCCUCUAAACCCCCCAACAAGCCCGCUCCGGCGGCACCAAGGUUGACCUCGGAUCAGGUAGGAAUACCCGCUGAACUUAAGCAUAUCAAUAAGCGGAGGA